Molecule: ribosomal RNA, 429 nt
Filed under: Bacteroidota bacterium
Lineage: Bacteria; Pseudomonadati; Bacteroidota
Description: Bacteroidetes bacterium partial 16S ribosomal RNA
Rfam family: Bacterial small subunit ribosomal RNA
Source: RNAcentral
UAGGGAAUCUUCGGCAAUGGGGGGAACCCUGACCGAGCAACGCCGCGUGAGUGAAGAAGGUUUUCGGAUCGUAAAGCUCUGUUGUUAAGGAAGAACGAGUGUGAGAAUGGAAAGUUCAUGCUGUGACGGUACUUAACCAGAAAGGGACGGCUAACUACGUGCCAGCAGCCGCGGUAAUACGUAGGUCCCGAGCGUUGUCCGGAUUUAUUGGGCGUAAAGCGAGCGCAGGCGGUUAGAAAAGUCUGAAGUGAAAGGCAGUGGCUCAACCAUUGUAGGCUUUGGAAACUGUUUAACUUGAGUGCAGAAGGGGAGAGUGGAAUUCCAUGUGUAGCGGUGAAAUGCGUAGAUAUAUGGAGGAACACCGGUGGCGAAAGCGGCUCUCUGGUCUGUAUCUGACGCUGAGGCUCGAAAGCGUGGGGAGCGAACAGG